UACGUAGGGUGCGAGCGUUAAUCGGAAUUACUGGGCGUAAAGCGUGCGCAGGCGGUUUUGGAAGCCCGAUGUGAAAGCCCCGGGCUUAACCUGGGAAUGGCAUUUGGGACUGCAAGGCUGGAGUGUGGCAGAGGAGACUGGAAUUCCUGGUGUAGCAGUGAAAUGCGUAGAUAUCAGGAAGAACACCCGUGGCGAAGGCGGUUAGCUGGGCAGUUGCUGACACUGAGGCGCGACAGCGUGGGGAGCAAACAGG
This 253-nucleotide ribosomal RNA is filed under the name uncultured bacterium. Its description in RNAcentral is "partial 16S ribosomal RNA". It matches the Rfam family "Bacterial small subunit ribosomal RNA", at positions 524 to 776 of the family's 1533-position model. The record is from RNAcentral.